Molecule: ribosomal RNA, 413 nt
Filed under: bacterium AW9
Lineage: Bacteria
Description: bacterial SSU rRNA
Rfam family: Bacterial small subunit ribosomal RNA
Source: RNAcentral
AACGCGAAGAACCUUACCUACUCUUGACAUCCAGAGAACUUUCCAGAGAUGGAUUGGUGCCUUCGGGAACUCUGAGACAGGUGCUGCAUGGCUGUCGUCAGCUCGUGUUGUGAAAUGUUGGGUUAAGUCCCGCAACGAGCGCAACCCUUAUCCUUGUUUGCCAGCGAGUAAUGUCGGGAACUCCAGGGAGACUGCCGGUGAUAAACCGGAGGAAGGUGGGGACGACGUCAAGUCAUCAUGGCCCUUACGAGUAGGGCUACACACGUGCUACAAUGGCGCAUACAGAGGGCGGCCAACUUGCGAGAGUGAGCGAAUCCCAAAAAGUGCGUCGUAGUCCGGAUUGGAGUCUGCAACUCGACUCCAUGAAGUCGGAAUCGCUAGUAAUCGUGGAUCAGAAUGCCACGGUGAAUACG